GACGAACGCUGGCGGCGCGCUUAACACAUGCAAGUCGAACGGAAAGGCCUGCUUUCCCUUGUGGAUUGCGGGUACUCGAGUGGCGAACGGGUGAGUAACACGUGAGUGAUCUGCCCCCAACUUGGGUAUAAGCCUGGGAAACUGGGUCUAAUUCCCGAUAGGACUGCAGGGUGGUGCCUGUGGUGGAAAACGAUUUCCUAGUGGUUGGGGAUGAGCUCGCGGCCUAUCAGCUUGUUGGUGGGGUAAUGGCCUACCAAGGCGGCGACGGGUAGCCGGCCUGAGAGGGUGGACGGCCACAUUGGGACUGAGAUACGGCCCAGACUCCUACGGGAGGCAGCAGUGGGGAAUAUUGCACAAUGGGCGGAAGCCUGAGGCAGCGACGCCGCGUGGGGGAUGACGGCCUUCGGGUUGUAAACUCCUUUCGACCGCGAGGAAGCCACCUGGUUGGAAGGGUGGUGACGGUAGUGGUAGAAGAAGCACCGGCUAACUACGUG
This 494-nucleotide ribosomal RNA is filed under the name uncultured bacterium. Its description in RNAcentral is "partial 16S ribosomal RNA". It matches the Rfam family "Bacterial small subunit ribosomal RNA", at positions 28 to 507 of the family's 1533-position model. The record is from RNAcentral.